CGCGGUAAUACGUAGGUGGCAAGCGUUAUCCGGAAUUAUUGGGCGUAAAGCGCGCGUAGGCGGUUUUUUAAGUCUGAUGUGAAAGCCCACGGCUCAACCGUGGAGGGUCAUUGGAAACUGGAAAACUUGAGUGCAGAAGAGGAAAGUGGAAUUCCAUGUGUAGCGGUGAAAUGCGCAGAGAUAUGGAGGAACACCAGUGGCGAAGGCGACUUUCUGGUCUGUAACUGACGCUGAUGUGCGAAAGCGUGGGGAUCAAACAGGAUUAGAUACCCUGGUAG
This 278-nucleotide ribosomal RNA is filed under the name Staphylococcus aureus. RNAcentral's name for it is "partial 16S ribosomal RNA". It matches the Rfam family "Bacterial small subunit ribosomal RNA", at positions 516 to 793 of the family's 1533-position model. The record is from RNAcentral. Lineage: Bacteria; Bacillati; Bacillota; Bacilli; Caryophanales; Staphylococcaceae.